Non-coding RNA from Schizosaccharomyces pombe (fission yeast), 710 nucleotides. Lineage: Eukaryota; Fungi; Ascomycota; Schizosaccharomycetes; Schizosaccharomycetales; Schizosaccharomycetaceae. The record is from the annotation of a GenBank genome assembly.
CCUCUUUCCGUUUCUACUUCUUCCAAACUUUUACUUAUUCUCAUGUCUUUUUCCUGCCUCGCCUAUUCUUACAUUCUCUCUCCUCGCUUCCCCUCGAUCCGUACUCCAUGUGCGUAAAUCUCUUUAAGCGCAAUCCGUUUUUCUUCCCAAGCUCAAGCCCAAUCCCGAGCUAAAACCAAACUGAAAUUUCUUUACUCCCUUUUACUUCUUUAAAGCAAUUCUCUUCUUUCUUCUUCAUACCCUUCGGAACCUCUUCUUCUUGAAAUUCCCUUGUUUACUCUUCAUUCUUUCAAAUUACCAAGUUGACUAGUUGCCAUUGCCGCAAUCCUUUUACUAUUCGGAGUGCCUGCAACCGAUCUCGCAAAACUCGCUUUCUUUGUUCGUAAUCUCCAAACUCCGCUCUUGUUACUUUGACCGUUGAAGUGUGCAUCGCUUCCAUUCGUGUAGCACAUGAUAAGCUAUCACUUUACUCGAUGCUUUGUACUCUUUAUCCCUGGUACCUCCUCUACUUCAAAUCUUUCCCAUUUACCGUUACUCCAUACACCCUAGGAGGAUCGUUGUCACAUUGAUUUACAGGGUUUAUCAAGGAGUCAUCGUUACCCUUUGUUGCUUGUUUGCUUGCUUGUUUGAGUGCUAGCCAUGCUGGGAUUAGCAUGACUCAAUCCAAUCGCUGGUUGUAUUGUUGAUUUUCUUUGUUUGAAAAUGGAGCA